ACCCCCUGAGGAUCUCACUUGGAGAGUUUCCGGUACUCUAUCGGUCUCGGCUACGGGAGGGAGAGUCAAGCAGAGGCCUACCCAUUCCAUUCCUAGCUUGGACAGUGGCUAGCGAAUGGAAGGCCGUCCGCUACAAGU
Molecule: non-coding RNA, 138 nt
Organism: Ornithorhynchus anatinus (platypus)
Lineage: Eukaryota; Metazoa; Chordata; Mammalia; Monotremata; Ornithorhynchidae
Source: Rfam